UAGGGCAAAAUUAGGGUUUUUGUGGCUGGUUAUAAAGGGACUCGAAAAACCCUAGUUUUGGACCAGUCUUGUGAUUCGGUUUGUGUGGAUAAAAAAGAAAUUAGGGUUUUGGAGUUACAUGUAUGGCUUCGGGGACUAUAGUUGGAGAGGGAGGUGGAAAUGAUGGAGCUAGAGAGAAACAGAGGUUUACAGAGAGUAAAGUUUAUACAAGAAAAGCUUUUAAAGGGCC
Molecule: unclassified non-coding RNA, 229 nt
Filed under: Hevea brasiliensis (rubber tree)
Lineage: Eukaryota; Viridiplantae; Streptophyta; Magnoliopsida; Malpighiales; Euphorbiaceae
Source: RNAcentral